CAGGGAGACAACAAAAUGUUUAAUAUUAUUAUUUUGUCACCUUAGGUCGAUCGGUAUCUCACGUUUUUAAUUUAUUAAGAAUUUCAUUUCCUAAGUUUUUCUAGGUCACACCCAUUAUUUUUCCUGGGCCAUUAGCUCAGGUGGUUAGAGCGCACCCCUGAUAAGGGUGAGGUCCCUGGUUCAAGUCCAGGAUGGCCCAUAUCUCUAUGUUGGGGGUAUAGCUCAGUUGGUAGAGCGCCUGCUUUGCAAGCAGGAUGUCAGCGGUUCGAGUCCGCUUACCUCCACUGAUUACCACCUCUUCCAUAAUUUGAAGAAAGGAAAUUUUUUGAGUUGUGAUCAAAUUCUGAACGAAUCUAGCUUCCUAAUGAAUCCAUUAAGAUGCUGGACUCAUUGAAUUAAUUUUCAUUGUUUUCAGAGAACCUUGACAACUGCAUAGAUUAUUUUUAAAGACAAUAAGCAUCUUUAAUGAUGCAGAUUUAUUAUUUGUGCGAAUGCAUUAAUAACAAUUCUAUUAAGCUGAUGCUUCAAUUUAAUGAAGUUAUU
RNAcentral lists this transfer RNA (543 nucleotides) under uncultured Prochlorococcus sp. RNAcentral describes it as "partial 16S-23S ribosomal RNA intergenic spacer". The stretch from base 212 to 284 matches the Rfam family "tRNA". The record is from RNAcentral. Lineage: Bacteria; Bacillati; Cyanobacteriota; Cyanophyceae; Synechococcales; Prochlorococcaceae.